RNAcentral lists this ribosomal RNA (644 nucleotides) under Picochlorum sp. RCC944. RNAcentral describes it as "partial Eukaryotic large subunit ribosomal RNA". It matches the Rfam family "Eukaryotic large subunit ribosomal RNA", at positions 50 to 691 of the family's 3401-position model. Lineage: Eukaryota; Viridiplantae; Chlorophyta; Trebouxiophyceae. The record is from RNAcentral.
GCGGAGGAAAAGAAACUAACAAGGAUUCCCCUAGUAGCGGCGAGCGAAGCGGGAAGAGCUCAAAUUUGUAAUCUGGCGCUUUCAGCGUCCGAGUUGUAAUCUCUAGAAAUGUUUUCCGCGUUGGACCGCACACAAGUCUGUUGGAAUACAGCGGCACAGUGGUGAGACCCCCGUUCAUGGUGCGGAUGCCCAAUGCUUUGUGAUACAUUUUCGAAGAGUCGAGUUGUUUGGGAAUGCAGCUCAAAUUGGGUGGUAAAUUCCAUCUAAAGCUAAAUAUUGGCGAGAGACCGAUAGCGAACAAGUACCGUGAGGGAAAGAUGAAAAGCACUUUGGAAAGAGAGUUAACAGUACGUGAAAUUGUUGGAAGGGAAACGCUUGAAGUCAGACUUGCUGUUCGGAGUUCAGCCGCAAGGUGUACUCUCCGAGUUGCAGGCCAGCAUCAGUUUUUCGGGGUGGAAAAUCACGGUUUGAAGGUAGCAGUUUCGGCUGUGUUAUAGCUUUCCGUUGGAUACAUCCUGGGGGACUGAGGAACGCAGUGUGCUUUUAGCGGAGGUUUCGACCUCUUCACACUUAGGAUGCUGGUGGAAUGGCUUUAAACGACCCGUCUUGGAACACGGACCAAGGAGUCUAACAUGCUUGCGAGU